GUGGUGUGCUAUUUGUGUGUGGUGUGCAUAUGUGUGGGGUGUCUGGUGUUUGGGUGUGUUUGGUAUGUGUGGUGUGUGGUAUGAGUGUAUGUGUGUGCACAGUGUGUGUGGUGUUGGGGGAGUGUCUGGGAGUGUGUGUUUGUGUGUGUAUAUUUGUGUGUAUGUGUGUGUGUGUAGUGUGGGGGUGUCUGAUGUAUUUGGGGUGUGUGU
Molecule: long non-coding RNA, 210 nt
Filed under: Homo sapiens (human)
Lineage: Eukaryota; Metazoa; Chordata; Mammalia; Primates; Hominidae
Description: non-protein coding lnc-DSCAM-2:1
Source: RNAcentral